AGUGGUAGCCUAAAGCAUUUUAUCUAUGUGAUCAAGACUUAGCCGUGUUAGUCAUGAAGGAGAAACGCUAAAGAAAAUUCUGUAUGUUACAUACGUAGGAUUAUUUUAAACUAAAAGUGGAAUUGGAAAAGUGAGAUUGUGACAGAUUUCCAAUGUGGGGUCAGCAAGUUCAGAGGUUAAGUGACUUUACAGAGGAGCUUCUGUCACACCGUCUUUUACCAUGACAAGAUCAGGUGCCUUAAAACUUUGCAUCCUCUUCUUUCUCACCUUCAUCCUGUGUCUACCAGAGUUUUUUCCAAAAAUAUCACAAAUUGAGUUUCUCUGUGAGCCCUUUGACCCUUGCACACCUGAGAAUGAUACACAGGUGUGUGCUCCAUAUGACCCUCCCUGUGUGAUAGAAAUGAUAAAUGCCAGCAGCCAACACACACGUUCUGAAGGCUGGUAUCUGUGUAAAACUGAAAUGGAUCUGCAGCUUCUCCAGAACAAUACCUCACCGUCAGAAGAGCAUGUGAUGGUGCUACUGACAAUGAAGGCAGGCAAUCACUCUGGAUGGAACAUUAGUGAAUUUAUGUUUCUCAACAACACUGAUCUAUACACUGCUGGACCCCAAAAUGACCAGAGACUGUUUUAUUGCAACCUCCCACCAGACAACAGCAAAUGUCCAGAUCUGAACAUAUCCAUGCAAGAAAAAAACACCAGCCCUCCAAUACAAGACCCCUCCAUUUUAAAAACCAAUACUUCUGUGAACCCAACUGCCUUUUCACUCAAAACAACUACACUGUCUUUCCAAGAAACACCUUCUACAGAUGAGCUGAAGUGUCAACCAACCAGCAGCAGUUUCCUCUUUUACUACCAGAUGAACAAUGAAACAGCAAGAUCUGCCGCAUUACCAGUAACCCAAACAAGAAAAGAUGGCUGGUGGUGUGUGAUUACUUCGGUGUGGUUGGCUCUGGUACUGACUGUGAUUGUGGUAACCCUAUUGAGUGUGGGAAACAUGAUCUUUAAGAGCAGAAAACGAAAGUCCGGUUUGGUUGCAUCUGUGCCGGUUUCAGCCCGUGGACGUCAGCUCAAAGAGCUCAGUAAACAAAAAGAAAAUUUAAUGAGUGCUGUCCCUACUGUGUCCAUAGCAAUGUGCUGCUUAAGUGAUGGGGAUGUAUUCUAUGAGAAACCGUCAAUGGGGAACAGAACAGAAGGUAAACAAACAACCUGUUCUAUCAUACUGCACACUUUUUACCCUGAAGAAAUCUGUGCUUUAUCAAAAUGCAACCCUUACAUCUUUACCUGGCACUGAGUUUUCUUACUCGAAUAGAAAUUCUCCAGACCACUAACUUUCAAUCUACACUUUCUCAGAAAACCUUCUGAAGGUAGCUGACCUUACAUACAAGAGAAGUAAGUUAUUGGAUAUUUUUUUAUACAGUGUGACAGAGUACAGUAAUUAAACGGGAAGUGUCUGUAAUGGUGGCAGACUCCCGAAAAGCAACUCAACCUAAAACAAUUUUGGGCGCCAGGCAAACAGAUUGAAAACUCUGUCAUCAUUUACUCACCUCAUGCUGUUCCAACCAGUUUGACUUCCUUCUGUGGGAUAUAAAUAAAGAAUUUUUUGCAAAUGUUCAUGCCACUUCAUCUCUAUAUAAUGAAAGUGGAUGGGGUUCAGAGAAUGGCAAGCUUUAAAAGAGACAUAAAAGCACGUACAGUUUGUGACUCUUCUGGAGCCAUAUGAUAGCUUUGUGUACCAUUUUAUGUGGUGUAGUCACUGUUCACUUUUAUUAAAUGGAAUAGCAGACAUUCAGCAAUGAAUAAUAUUUUUUUAUUCCCUGGAAGAAGUUUUCAAUUGUAGUUUAACUAUUACGCACCCACUUUCUCAUACCAUCAAAAACAGUAUGUGUGUGUACUGUGUAGGUCAUUGCAUCCAGUAUAUACUGGAUAAGAUUGUAUCUGGUUUCCUAUACAGCAUAUUUAUAUAUUCCCUUAGGCCUAUAUAUUCAUUAUGUGUGUGUGUAAUUUUUUUUAAUUGUCUCUAAUGUUUUAGGUUUGUCACCAGUCUAUGAGAUCAUAGAACCUCACUAGAUGAAGAAGAGCAACAUGAAGAUGAAGAAGAGUUUUAAAAAAUCACAAAAAGCACAGGGCCACUGCGAACCACCAACGUACCUGCAUCAUCGAAGCAACUUUUCAUGUUCUGGUCAUGAAGAAGAUGGGGAGCUUUAACCCUUUAAAUCUAAGAGAACAGAGGCAUUUUCUUAAACAGAAAAUGUAUUUGUUUACAACACAACAGAGGCCAGAUAACUUCAUCAUGCUUUCUCCACAAAUAAACAUCAUGUUAAAGUGUCUGUAAGUGACGUUAGGAGUUCUAGAACUGAUACUGAAUUAAACAAGCAUCCUGUUUUACAACCCCAUCGCUUGGACACAACCACCAAAGCAUGUAAAACUUAUGCUUCCUAACUGGAAAGAUUAAUAUCCCAUUUUGCACAAACUAAACUCAUAUAAGUUCAUCUUCCGUGUGCUCAUUUUCCAGCUUUACAUUUAUGCACUGCCCAACAUAAUUUCUAAAAGUUGUUGUAUUGCAUGUUUGUGUGUGUUUAAAAGCUGUUUUUGUAGGUUUCUUCCACAGAUCUGCAAUUGACAGUCUUAGCGUUAUCUUAACUACGGGAAUAUGCAUCACAAUAUAGUGUUAUGUCACACACAGUCUCAAAUAAAUCUGUUUGCCCAAUGCUGAAAAAAAUGAGAGGGAAGAUUUCUAUGACUAGGCUGAAAACUUAAUCCAUAGUGCAUGGUUCUCUAACGUCCAUUUAGCAAGCAGAAUGGCAACACUAAUGUGAUUUCAUAAUUAUACAACACCAGUCUUAAGCUUCUGUAGCUAUUAAAGUAAUACUCAUGUUUCCAUAAUGCACUUUUUAUCUUCACAUCAGCUUAAAAUGUUCAGAGAUUUGUAACUGGUGAAUAAAAACACACAGUACUGAGAA
Cyprinus carpio (common carp) is the source of this 2960-nucleotide RNA transcript. RefSeq lists it as uncharacterized. The transcript has 10 exons. The record is from RefSeq and is a predicted model, not a curated record. NCBI's taxonomy places the organism in Eukaryota, Metazoa, Chordata, Actinopteri, Cypriniformes, Cyprinidae.